AACACGUGAGUAACCUGCCCUUGACUCUGGGAUAAGCCUGGGAAACUGGGUCUAAUACCGGAUACGACCGCUCACCGCAUGGUGUGGUGGUGGAAAGCUUUUGCGGUUUUGGAUGGACUCGCGGCCUAUCAGCUUGUUGGUGGGGUAAUGGCCUACCAAGGCGACGACGGGUAGCCGGCCUGAGAGGGUGACCGGCCACACUGGGACUGAGACACGGCCCAGACUCCUACGGGAGGCAGCAGUGGGGAAUUUUGGACAAUGGGCGCAAGCCUGAUGCAGCGACGCCGCGUGAGGGAUGACGGCCUUCGGGUUGUAAACCUCUUUCAGUAGGGAAGAAGCGCAAGUGACGGUACCUGCAGAAGAAGCGCCGGCUAACUACGUGCCAGCAGCCGCGGUAAUACGUAGGGCGCAAGCGUUAUCCGGAAUUAUUGGGCGUAAAGAGCUCGUAGGCGGUUUGUCGCGUCUGCUGUGAAAGACCGGGGCUCAACUCCGGUUCUGCAGUGGGUACGGGCAGACUAGAGUGAUGUAGGGGAGACUGGAAUUCCUGGUGUAGCGGUGAAAUGCGCAGAUAUCAGGAGG
Molecule: ribosomal RNA, 579 nt
Filed under: uncultured bacterium
Lineage: Bacteria
Description: bacterial SSU rRNA
Rfam family: Bacterial small subunit ribosomal RNA
Source: RNAcentral